AGUGAACGCUGGCGGUAGGCCUAACACAUGCAAGUCGAACGGCAGCACAGUAAGAGCUUGCUCUUACGGGUGGCGAGUGGCGGACGGGUGAGGAAUACAUCGGAAUCUACUUUUUCGUGGGGGAUAACGUAGGGAAACUUACGCUAAUACCGCAUACGACCUACGGGUGAAAGCAGGGGAUCUUCGGACCUUGCGCGAGUGAAUGAGCCGAUGUCGGAUUAGCUAGUUGGCGGGGUAAAGGCCCACCAAGGCGACGAUCCGUAGCUGGUCUGAGAGGAUGAUCAGCCACACUGGAACUGAGACACGGUCCAGACUCCUACGGGAGGCAGCAGUGGGGAAUAUUGGACAAUGGGCGGAAGCCUGAUCCAGCCAUACAGCGUGGGUGAAGAAGGCCUUCGGGUUGUAAAGCCCUUUUGUUGGGAAAGAAAAGCAGCAGGUUAAUCCCCCGCUGUUCUGACGGUACCCAAAGAAUAAGCACCGGCUAACUUCGUG
This 492-nucleotide ribosomal RNA is filed under the name uncultured bacterium. RNAcentral's name for it is "partial 16S ribosomal RNA". It matches the Rfam family "Bacterial small subunit ribosomal RNA", at positions 29 to 507 of the family's 1533-position model. The record is from RNAcentral.